Molecule: ribosomal RNA, 404 nt
Filed under: Actinomycetes bacterium
Lineage: Bacteria; Bacillati; Actinomycetota; Actinomycetes
Description: Actinobacteria bacterium partial 16S ribosomal RNA
Rfam family: Bacterial small subunit ribosomal RNA
Source: RNAcentral
UGGGGAAUAUUGGACAAUGGGCGCAAGCCUGAUCCAGCCAUGCCGCGUGAGUGAUGAAGGCCCUAGGGUUGUAAAGCUCUUUCACCGGUGAAGAUAAUGACGGUAACCGGAGAAGAAGCCCCGGCUAACUUCGUGCCAGCAGCCGCGGUAAUACGAAGGGGGCUAGCGUUGUUCGGAUUUACUGGGCGUAAAGCGCACGUAGGCGGACUUUUAAGUCAGGGGUGAAAUCCCGGGGCUCAACCCCGGAACUGCCUUUGAUACUGGAAGUCUUGAGUAUGGUAUAGGUGAGUGGAAUUCCGAGUGUAGAAGUGAAAUUCGUAGAUAUGCGGAGGAACACCAGUGGCGAAGGCGGCUCACUGGACCAUUACUGACGCUGAGGUGCGAAAGCGUGGGGAGCAAACAGG